AUGUUUACUCAAGGCUUGAUUACAUUGCUGCCUAUAGUCAGCAUAUACUAUGCUAAUAUAGUCUAUACAUUAUACUCUGCUAUAGUCGACUAUAAAGUCACACAUAGCAAGAUUAACAACACAGCGCUACUUCUGACGAGUGAAAUCUUUUAAUCUACCAGCAACGCGCCAAUUAUCGCUGCGUGCAGACCGCGCUGUACAUGUCUAGAUACGCUUCGCUAUUAAAGAUGGGUUAUUGCACUCAUCAGGGCUAAUCCGAUGGCAUAUUCCUCGGGUAGAGCCCUCAUUAUAUGAGUAUACUAGCUUUAACCAAUUGUGCAGGCCACACCCACAUUGCAUUUGAUAUUCAAGAGCAUUACAUUUCCGUCAGUUUGGAUAUUCGACGUUGUUUAAAAGCGGGGGAUUUUUUAGACGAUAAGCACAACGCAGUCGUGGCUUGUACAGUCUUUGCGUGGCUGUGUGAGCGCGCUACAUUAGAAUACGCUUGGCCAUCGAGCUUGUGCUAUUUGUAGCGGUUUUCUCGACCCAUAUUGUACUGGGAGAAAGAUAACUGGAUUUGUGAUUGCAUUAUAAAGCUGGUGACGUUUCACAAGAAACUCUUGAGUGCCCAGACAGAGCGAAAGUGCAGUAUAAGGUAUUGAUUACCGAAUCGCUUGUAGUUAUAAAAACAAGCUUUCGCAUCGCUCUCCGCCAGCUGGUUUGUGUUCUACGCGAUACGCUAAAGAAAAAAUUGGUAAAAUGGCAACGCAGACAGUAGCCCAGCCUUGUCGCCAGUGCUGCGGACGGGUCGCGGACCCCGGCGUCUACUGGGAUAAAGAUAUCAAAAGAUUCUUAGUAGAUAUCGACAGCAAAGAUGGGACUCACGGCUAUCUCAGGAUCCCUGUGGAUAGGGACGAGGUUUUCAAGAAUCCCCUCGAGGAAGCUUUCAAAAAUCAAUCCGACGUCACUAUCGUCUACACAGUAAACAACAACGAGAUAAUGACGGUCAAGCGAGGGCGAGGAAGCGUUUCCGACUGAUAAUCAAUGUUUGAUCGUCGAUCAACGUUUUGAACAAUGAGAGGAUGUAUGAAUAAUCGACUGUGGGUUCUCUCAGUGUUUGACACUGUAGAAUUGAGAAGACUUGUAACAAUGUUUUUUUCUGAUGUAUCCUGUAUUUUAAGCGUUUACAGGGAAAUACGAUAUAUAUGUUGUUCCUUUCUUCAAAAUAAUAAAUCAUGUUUGGAGAUUUCAAUGUAUAACGUUGCGUGGCUGAAAAAUAAAUCAGUGAAACAAGUUA
Nematostella vectensis (starlet sea anemone) is the source of this 1276-nucleotide long non-coding RNA. RefSeq lists it as uncharacterized. Lineage: Eukaryota; Metazoa; Cnidaria; Anthozoa; Actiniaria; Edwardsiidae. The record is from RefSeq and is a predicted model, not a curated record. The transcript has 3 exons.